GACUUUAUCCCAACCCACAAGAUGGAGCUUAACUUCUUCCUCCAUGCCUCCCCACAGAAAAUUGCAAAAGAUUUGCUCCAUACGAGAAGCCACACUUACAGGUAAUGGAAAAAGGGAUAAGAAAUAAGUACAGAGUAUUGAAAGAGUGCUCUUUAUAAGAGUAAUCCUACCCCCUUUAG
Molecule: long non-coding RNA, 179 nt
Organism: Juglans microcarpa x Juglans regia
Lineage: Eukaryota; Viridiplantae; Streptophyta; Magnoliopsida; Fagales; Juglandaceae
Exons: 3
Source: RefSeq, a predicted model, not a curated record